UAUGGAAAAGCCAACCAUAGAAGGUGAUAGUCCUGUACGCGAAAUCGUCGAAACUCUCGCUGGACACCUGAGUACAACCGGGCACGCUAAUCCGGUUGGAAUCUGGGGAGUCCACUCUCCAAGGCUAAAUACGUUUGACGACCGAUAGUGAACAAGUACCGUGAGGGAAAGGUGAAAAGUACCCCUGUUAGGGGAGUGAAAAGAACCUGAAACCGUAAGCUUACAAACAGUCGAAGGGCUAAUGGCGUGUUCGUGCUAUAGCGAAAGCUUGUGCGCAGCGCUAUGCCUGACGGCGUGCCUUUUGGAGAAUGAGUCUGCGAGUUAAUCUUUGUGGCAAGGUUAAGGAAGUUACAUCCGAAGCCGCAGCGAAAGCGAGUCUGAAUAGGGCGUGCAGUCGCAAGGAUUAGACACGAAACCAGGUGAGCUAACCAUGGNNNNNNNNNNNNNNNNNNNNNNNNNNNNNNNCUGUGGUUAGGGGUGAUAUGCCAAACGAACUUGGAGAUAGCUUGUUCUCCCCGAAAUAGCUUUAGGGCUAGCGUUAAGCGUUUAGUAACGGAGGUAGAGCACUGAAUGGGUAAGGGGGCUUAUUGCUUACCGAACCUAAUCAAACUCCGAAUGCCGUUACUCCAAGCUUAGCAGUCGGACUCCGGGGGAUGAGCUUCGGGGUCGAGAGGGAAAGAGCCCAGAUCAACAGCUAAGGUCCCCAAAUUUGUACUAAGUGGGAAACGAGGUGAGGUUACUGAAACAACCAGGAGGUUGGCUUAGAAGCAGCCACCCUUUAAAAAGUGCGUAAUAGCUUACUGGUCGAGUGAUCUUGCGCGGAAAAUUCAACGGGGCUAAGUACAAUACCGAAGCUUUGGAGCCACACUAGGUGUGGUUGGUAGGGGAGCGUUCUGCCAGCNNGGAGGUAGAGCACUGAAUGGGCUAGGGGGCUUAUAGCUUACCAAACCUAAUCAAACUCCGAAUGCCGUUACUCCAAGCUUAGCAGUCGGACUCCGGGAGAUGAGUUUCGGGGUCGAGAGGGAAACAGCCCAGAUCAACAGCUAAGGUCCCCAAAUUUGUACUAAGUGGGAAACGAUGUGAAGUUACUGAAACAACCAGGAGGUUUGCCUAGAAGCAGCCACCCUUUAAAAAGUGCGUAACAGCUUACUGGUCGAGUGAUUUUGCGCGGAAAAUUCAACGGGGCUAAGUACAAUACCGAAGCUUUGAACUUCCGCCUUCGGGCGGGAUUGGUAGGGGAGCGUUCUGCCAGCGGUGAAGGUCGAUCGAAAGGACGGCUGGAGCGGGCAGAAGUGAGAAUGCAGACAUGAGUAGCGUAAAACACGUGAGAACCGUGUUCGCCGUAUAUCUAAGGUUUCCGACGCCAGGUCAAUCCGCGUCGGGUUAGUCAGGACCUUAGCCGAGGCCGAGAGGCGUAGGCGAUGGACAGCCGGUCAACAUUCCGGCACCACUUAAGUAGAGUGAUGGAGGGACGCAACGAGGUAGGCCAGCCCACGAUUGGUUGUGUGGGUGAAUUGCAUGUCAGCCGUUGAGAUCUAUAGGAAAAUCCGUAGAUCGAGGUGAGAUGCCGUUACGAGCCUAUAAGGCGUAAGUGAGUUGAGCCUUGUUGCCGAGAAAAGCUUCUAAACGAUGAAACUUGAGUGCCUGUACCGCAAACCGACACUGGUAGAUGGGUAGAGUAUACCAAGGCGAACGGGAGAACCCUUGUUAAGGAACUAGGCAAUUUGACCUCGUAACUUCGGGAUAAGAGGUGCCCCUUGACGUGAAUGAAUAAUGAGCGUCGGGGGGUCGCAGUGAAAUGGUUCUAGGGACUGGUUACCAAAACCACAGGUCUCUGCAAAGUCGUAAGACGAUGUAUAGGGGCUGACACCUGCCCAGUGCCGGAAGGUUAAAGGGAGGGGUUAGGCGCAAGCCGAAGCUCUGAACUGAAGCCCCGGUGAACGGCGGCCGUAACUAUAACGGUCCUAAGGUAGCGAAAUUCCUUGUCGGGUAAGUUCCGACCCGCGCGAAUGGUGUAACGAUUUGGGCGCUGUCUCAACAAGGGACCCGG
RNAcentral lists this ribosomal RNA (2050 nucleotides) under Anaerolineaceae bacterium UBA5344. RNAcentral's name for it is "bacterial LSU rRNA". It matches the Rfam family "Bacterial large subunit ribosomal RNA", at positions 341 to 2036 of the family's 2925-position model. The record is from RNAcentral. Lineage: Bacteria; Bacillati; Chloroflexota; Anaerolineae; Anaerolineales; Anaerolineaceae.